UACGUAGGUGGCAAGCGUUAUCCGGAAUUAUUGGGUGUAAAGGGUGCGCAGGCGGAAGAUCAAGUCAGCGGUAAAAUUGAGAGGCUCAACCUCUUCGAGCCGUUGAAACUGGUUUUCUUGAGUGAGCGAGAAGUAUGCGGAAUGCGUGGUGUAGCGGUGAAAUGCAUAGAUAUCGCGCAGAACCCCGAUUGCGAAGGCAGCCUGCCGGCCCCACACUGACGCUGAGGCACGAAAGCGUGGGUAUCGAACAGG
This 252-nucleotide ribosomal RNA is filed under the name uncultured Bacteroidales bacterium. RNAcentral describes it as "partial 16S ribosomal RNA". It matches the Rfam family "Bacterial small subunit ribosomal RNA", at positions 524 to 776 of the family's 1533-position model. Lineage: Bacteria; Pseudomonadati; Bacteroidota; Bacteroidia; Bacteroidales. The record is from RNAcentral.